AUGAACGCUAGCGACAGGCCUAACACAUGCAAGUCGAGGGGCAGCACAAGGAGCAAUCUGAGGUGGCGACCGGCGCACGGGUGAGUAACACGUAUGCAACCUGCCUGUAAGCGGGGAAUAACCCGUUGAAAGACGGACUAAUACCGCAUAAUACUAAAUUACUGCAUGGUAAUUUAUUUAAACAUUUAUGGCUUACAGAUGGGCAUGCGCAUGAUUAGCUAGUUGGAGAGGUAACGGCUCCCCAAGGCAACGAUCAUUAGGGGUUCUGAGAGGAAGGUCCCCCACACUGGUACUGAGACACGGACCCAGACUCCUACGGGAGGCAGCAGUGAGGAAUAUUGGUCAAUGGACGAGAGUCUGAACCAGCCAAGUCGCGUGCAGGAAGAAUGUCCUUAAUGGAUUGUAAACUGCUUUUGCAGGGGAAUAAAGUGCAUCACGUGUGAUGUUUUGUAUGUACUCUGCGAAUAAGGAUCGGCUAACUCCGUGCCAGCAGCUGC
This 497-nucleotide ribosomal RNA is filed under the name uncultured bacterium. RNAcentral describes it as "bacterial SSU rRNA". It matches the Rfam family "Bacterial small subunit ribosomal RNA", at positions 29 to 518 of the family's 1533-position model. The record is from RNAcentral.